AACGCGAAGAACCUUACCUACUCUUGACAUCCAGAGAAGCUUUUAGAGAUAGAGGCGUGCCUUCGGGAACUUUGAAACAGGUGCUGCAUGGCUGUCGUCAGCUCGUGUUGUGAAAUGUUGGGUUAAGUCCCGCAACGAGCGCAACCCUUAUCCUUUGUUGCCAGCGAUACGGUCGGGAACUCAAAGGAGACUGCCGGUGAUAAACCGGAGGAAGGUGGGGACGACGUCAAGUCAUCAUGGCCCUUACGAGUAGGGCUACACACGUGCUACAAUGGCGUAUACAGAGAGAGGCGAGCCUGCGAGGGGAAGCGGAACUCAGAAAGUACAUCGAAGUCCGGAUUGGAGUCUGCAACUCGACUCCAUGAAGUCGGAAUCGCCAGUAAUCGCGA
RNAcentral lists this ribosomal RNA (389 nucleotides) under uncultured Arsenophonus sp. Its description in RNAcentral is "bacterial SSU rRNA". It matches the Rfam family "Bacterial small subunit ribosomal RNA", at positions 958 to 1347 of the family's 1533-position model. The record is from RNAcentral. Lineage: Bacteria; Pseudomonadati; Pseudomonadota; Gammaproteobacteria; Enterobacterales; Morganellaceae.